Molecule: non-coding RNA, 222 nt
Organism: Paramuricea clavata
Lineage: Eukaryota; Metazoa; Cnidaria; Anthozoa; Malacalcyonacea; Plexauridae
Source: the annotation of a GenBank genome assembly
UUUCAUGCAAUCACAAUGCUCGAAAGUUUAUUUUAAUUAGAUGCAAUCACUCGCAGCGAGCUUGCGAGUUGGUUUUGCGAUGAGUGGAAAAGAGCCUUUAUAUUCUAUUGGAGGGUUUGGUAAACACAACAGCAACGAGAACGUGCUCAUCAACAAUAGCCUCUGCAACGAGCAACGAGAACGUGCUCAUCAACAAUAGCCUCUGCAACGAGCAACAAGAAC